RNAcentral lists this ribosomal RNA (263 nucleotides) under uncultured bacterium. RNAcentral's name for it is "partial 16S ribosomal RNA". It matches the Rfam family "Bacterial small subunit ribosomal RNA", at positions 30 to 293 of the family's 1533-position model. The record is from RNAcentral.
AUUGAACGCUGGCGGCAGGCCUAACACAUGCAAGUCGAGCGGAUGAGAGGAGCUUGCUCCUGGAUUCAGCGGCGGACGGGUGAGUAAUGCCUAGGAAUCUGCCUGGUAGUGGGGGGCAACGUUUCGAAAGGAACGCUAAUACCGCAUACGUCCUACGGGAGAAAGCGGGGGACCUUCGGGCCUUGCGCUACCAGAUGAGCCUAGGUCGGAUUAGCUAGUUGGUGAGGUAAUGGCUCACCAAGGCGACGAUCCGUAACUGGUCU